CCUACGGGAGACAGCAGUGGGGAAUAUUGCACAAUGGGGGAAACCCUGAUGCAGCGACGCCGCGUGAGUGAAGAAGUCUUUCGGUAUGUAAAGCUCUAUCAGCAGGGAAGAAAAUGACGGUACCUGAUUCAUAUGCCCCUGCUAACGACGUUCCAGCCGCCGCGCGAAUACGUAGGCGUCAAGCGUUAUCCGGAUUUACGGGGUGUAAAGGGGGCGUAUACGGCAGCACAAGUAUGGAGUGAAAUGCCGGGGCUUAACCCCGAAACUGCAUUGGAAACUGUGCAGCUAGAGUGCAGGAGAGGUAAGUGGAAGUCCUAGUGUAGCGGUGAAAUGCGUAGAUAUUAGGAGGAACACCAGUGGCGAAGGCGGCGUACUGGACUGUAACUGACGUUGAGGCUCGAAAGCGUGGGGAGCAAACAGGAUUAGAUACCCCAGUAGUC
This 440-nucleotide ribosomal RNA is filed under the name uncultured bacterium. Its description in RNAcentral is "partial 16S ribosomal RNA". It matches the Rfam family "Bacterial small subunit ribosomal RNA", at positions 338 to 795 of the family's 1533-position model. The record is from RNAcentral.